UAGACAGAGCCGAGCUGAGCUCGUCCCGUCGCCGCCCCAUCCCAUCGAUCUCCUCCGGUCACCCUGCUUUGAUUCCUUGUGCACAGAAGUUCCCCAGCUCCUCCUCCACCUUCCCCAACCUCUAGCCUAGCUCCUCCCGGCUAGAAUCGCCUAGCCACCACCAGUCACAAUUGAAGCUGCUUGAAGAUUUGCUUCACCGUCGAUCCGCCUCUCCGGUCGUCCUCCGCCCAAACUGUCCCUCGGAAUGGGUCGCCCUCGACCUGCUGGCGCUUCCCGGAUUACCCAUCGCCGCCCUCUCGCCGGAAGCGCCGCCGAGUGCUGUGCCCAUGGCCGCCGGGGCACUGCUCCGCUGCGCCCACACUUCCGGCCAUCCCCGACCCCAACUGAACCCACUCACAGAACCCGUGGUGAGAGCAUCGUCUACGAAUGGAUCAUGAAGUCCAGGACCGGCGAAGCAGGAUUGGGAAGGAAUUCGUGAAGACCCGGCCCAAGGUCGGAAGGGCCCAAGGCCUUGCUAGUAUUAACACUAACUUAGUGUUACCCUCAGGCAAGCCCCGCUGCAUAACCUACUAUUUUAAAUUAUGAAUCAGUAUAUAUGUUUAUUACUUGUGCAUUAUGUUUUUAGGAAUUAUUUGAAACCUUAGUCGCAUGAUCCCUAGGUUCCCUUGGGUUGAAUAUUACUAGCAUGUGUAAGUCGUUAGUACUGCUAUGCUUAAUAGGUCUCGGUAGAAGUCGAGUAAUUUUCUGUUACUCACGAGAUAUAGGAUGUCUUUAUAUUUUA
Long non-coding RNA from Panicum virgatum (switchgrass), 781 nucleotides. RefSeq lists it as uncharacterized. The transcript has 2 exons. Lineage: Eukaryota; Viridiplantae; Streptophyta; Magnoliopsida; Poales; Poaceae. The record is from RefSeq and is a predicted model, not a curated record.